UAAUCCUGCCCAGUGACCAAAAGGUUAAACGGCCGCGGUACCCUGACCGUGCUAAGGUAGCAUAAUAAAUCGCCCUUUAAUUGUGGGCUAGUAUGAAUGGAUAAACGAAGGCUUAACUGUCUCAACUAUACUAAUAAAAAUUGGCCUUUAGGUGAAAAUACCUAAAUAUAAUUAGAGGACAAAAAGACCCCGUAGAGCUUAGUAUUUUAGCAAUUCCGUUAUUUAUAUUUUUAUAAAAAAACAUCUUUGGUAAAAAUAUUUGGCUGGGGCGGCUAUGGAGCAAAAAACCUCCACAAAAAACAAAAGAUACACAAAUCUUCUUCAUAAACUGAUCCUAAUCUAGAUCAAAGAAAACAGCUACCUCGGGGAUAACAGAUUAAUCCCUUUUGAGAGUUCACAUUGACAAAGGAUUUUGAUACCUCGAUGUUGGCUUAGGGUCUCCAGAGGGUCAGCAGCAGCCCUCCACGGUAGGUUUGUUCAACCUUUAAAACCCUACGUGAUCUGGUUCAAAACC
This 514-nucleotide ribosomal RNA is filed under the name Terebellides sp. RNAcentral's name for it is "partial large subunit ribosomal RNA". It matches the Rfam family "Bacterial large subunit ribosomal RNA", at positions 1854 to 2618 of the family's 2925-position model. Lineage: Eukaryota; Metazoa; Annelida; Polychaeta; Terebellida; Trichobranchidae. The record is from RNAcentral.